GAUGAACGCUGGCGGCGUGCCUAAUACAUGCAAGUCGAGCGAACAGACGAGGAGCUUGCUCCUCUGACGUUAGCGGCGGACGGGUGAGUAACACGUGGAUAACCUACCUAUAAGACUGGGAUAACUUCGGGAAACCGGAGCUAAUACCGGAUAAUAUAUUGAACCGCAUGGUUCAAUAGUGAAAGACGGUUUUGCUGUCACUUAUAGAUGGAUCCGCGCCGCAUUAGCUAGUUGGUAAGGUAACGGCUUACCAAGGCGACGAUGCGUAGCCGACCUGAGAGGGUGAUCGGCCACACUGGAACUGAGACACGGUCCAGACUCCUACGGGAGGCAGCAGUAGGGAAUCUUCCGCAAUGGGCGAAAGCUUGACGGAGCAACGCCGCGUGAGUGAUAAAGGUCUUCGGAUCGUAAAACUCUGUUAUUAGGGAAGAACAAAUGUGUAAGUAACUAUGCACGUCUUGACGGUACCUAAUCAGAAAGCCACGGCUAACUACGUG
Molecule: ribosomal RNA, 497 nt
Filed under: uncultured bacterium
Lineage: Bacteria
Description: partial 16S ribosomal RNA
Rfam family: Bacterial small subunit ribosomal RNA
Source: RNAcentral